GACGAACGCUGGCGGCGUGCUUAACACAUGCCAGUCGAACGGAAAGGCCCUGCUUUUGUGGGGUGCUCGAGUGGCGAACGGGUGAGUAACACGUGAGUAACCUGCCCUUGACUUUGGGAUAACUUCAGGAAACUGGGGCUAAUACCGGAUAGGAGCUCCUGCUGCAUGGUGGGGGUUGGAAAGGUUCGGCGGUUGGGGAUGGACUCGCGGCUUAUCAGCUUGUUGGUGGGGUAGUGGCUUACCAAGGCUUUGACGGGUAGCCGGCCUGAGAGGGUGACCGGCCACAUUGGGACUGAGAUACGGCCCAGACUCCUACGGGAGGCAGCAGUGGGGAAUAUUGCACAAUGGGCGGAAGCCUGAUGCAGCAACGCCGCGUGCGGGAUGACGGCCUUCGGGUUGUAAACCGCUUUCGCCUGUGACGAAGCGUGAGUGACGGUAAUGGGUAAAGAAGCACCGGCUAACUACGUG
This 468-nucleotide ribosomal RNA is filed under the name uncultured bacterium. Its description in RNAcentral is "partial 16S ribosomal RNA". It matches the Rfam family "Bacterial small subunit ribosomal RNA", at positions 28 to 507 of the family's 1533-position model. The record is from RNAcentral.